CGGGCGACGGUCCGUCGAGGGAGAUGUUGGUCGUUUCCCAGGCGAUCCAGUCGCGGGCGGCGCGGCGGCGAUCGUCCGCGUCGUCGCCCGC
Molecule: transfer RNA, 91 nt
Filed under: Methylobacterium indicum
Lineage: Bacteria; Pseudomonadati; Pseudomonadota; Alphaproteobacteria; Hyphomicrobiales; Methylobacteriaceae
Description: tRNA-Gly
Source: RNAcentral